This 467-nucleotide ribosomal RNA is filed under the name uncultured Thermotogaceae bacterium. Its description in RNAcentral is "partial 16S ribosomal RNA". Lineage: Bacteria; Thermotogati; Thermotogota; Thermotogae; Thermotogales; Thermotogaceae. The record is from RNAcentral.
GACUACUGGGGUAUCUAAGCCCGUUCGCUCCCCUGGCUUUCGAGCAUCAGUGUCAGAACCGGCCCAGAAAACCACCUUCGUCACCGGCGUUCCUGCCAAUAUCUAAGGAUUUUACCCCUACACUGGCAGUUCCGUCUUCCUCUACCGUCCUCAAGCCUACCAGUUUCAACUGCAAGUCCGGAGUUGAGCUCCGGGUUUUCACAGUUGACAUGUUAGGCCACCUACGCUCCCUUUACGCCCAGUGAUUCCGGGUAACGCUCGCCCCCUACGUAUUACCGCGGCUGCUGGCACGUAGUUAGCCGGGGCUUUCUAGUAAGGUACCAUCCCUCUAUGUAGCUUUCCACUCUACAUAGCAUUUUUCCCUUACCACAGCAGUUUACAAUCCGAAGACCUUCUUCCUGCACGCGGCGUCGCUAGAUCAGAGUUCCCUCCAUUAUCUAAAAUUCCCCACUGCAGCCCCCCGUAGG